UUGAAUAAACGUGGUUGGGUUGUUGCUGGCUUUUAGGAGCAUGUGCACGCUCACUCCAUUUUUAACCACCUGUGCACCUUGUGUAGAUCUGAACAAAUCUCGGGGAAACUCGGUCAGAGAAUUGCUGUGUGUAAAAGCCAGCUUUUCUUGGGUUCAGAUCUAUGUCUCUAUAUACACCAUAUGAAUGUAUUCGAAUGUAAUUGAUAGGCGUUACAGCCUCUAAAAUCAAAUA
RNAcentral lists this unclassified non-coding RNA (232 nucleotides) under uncultured Entolomataceae. RNAcentral's name for it is "sequence contains ITS1". The record is from RNAcentral. Lineage: Eukaryota; Fungi; Basidiomycota; Agaricomycetes; Agaricales; Entolomataceae.